GCGCCCGUAGCUCAACUGGAUAGAGCGUCGGACUUCGGAUCCGAAGGCUGGGGGUUCGAGUCCUCCCGGGCGCA
RNAcentral lists this transfer RNA (74 nucleotides) under Gemmatimonadota bacterium. RNAcentral describes it as "Gemmatimonadetes bacterium tRNA-Arg". It matches the Rfam family "tRNA". Rfam says of the family: Transfer RNA (tRNA) molecules are approximately 80 nucleotides in length. Their secondary structure includes four short double-helical elements and three loops (D, anti-codon, and T loops). RNAcentral also lists the same sequence under 3 other names. The record is from RNAcentral. Lineage: Bacteria; Pseudomonadati; Gemmatimonadota.